This 241-nucleotide ribosomal RNA is filed under the name uncultured Staphylococcus sp. RNAcentral describes it as "partial 16S ribosomal RNA". It matches the Rfam family "Bacterial small subunit ribosomal RNA", at positions 99 to 334 of the family's 1533-position model. Lineage: Bacteria; Bacillati; Bacillota; Bacilli; Caryophanales; Staphylococcaceae. The record is from RNAcentral.
CGGACGGGUGAGUAACACGUCGAUAACCUACCUAUAAGACUGGGAUAACUUCGGGAAACCGGAGCUAAUACCGGAUAACAUGUUGAACCGCAUGGUUCAACAGUGAAAGACGGUUUUGCUGUCACUUAUAGAUGGAUCCGCGCCGCAUUAGCUAGUUGGUAAGGUAACGGCUUACCAAGGCAACGAUGCGUAGCCGACCUGAGAGGGUGAUCGGCCACACUGGAACUGAGACACGGUCCAG